GGGCAGGUACCCAAGUGGCCAACGGGGGCAGACUGUAAAUCUGCUGGCGAAAGCCUUCGGAGGUUCGAAUCCUUCCCUGCCCA
Molecule: transfer RNA, 83 nt
Filed under: Caldifarciminota bacterium
Lineage: Bacteria; Pseudomonadati; Caldifarciminota
Description: candidate division WOR-3 bacterium (hot springs metagenome) tRNA-Tyr
Rfam family: tRNA
About the family: Transfer RNA (tRNA) molecules are approximately 80 nucleotides in length. Their secondary structure includes four short double-helical elements and three loops (D, anti-codon, and T loops). Further hydrogen bonds mediate the characteristic L-shaped molecular structure. tRNAs have two regions of fundamental functional importance: the anti-codon, which is responsible for specific mRNA codon recognition, and the 3' end, to which the tRNAs corresponding amino acid is attached (by aminoacyl-tRNA synthetases). tRNAs cope with the degeneracy of the genetic code in two manners: having more than one tRNA (with a specific anti-codon) for a particular amino acid; and 'wobble' base-pairing, i.e. permitting non-standard base-pairing at the 3rd anti-codon position.
Source: RNAcentral